GUUGGUAUAGCUCAGUGGUAGAGCAUUCGUCUGCAUAUCGAAAUGUCCCCGGUUCAAACCCGGGUGUCCCCU
RNAcentral lists this transfer RNA (72 nucleotides) under Araneus ventricosus. It matches the Rfam family "tRNA". From Rfam's summary of the family: Transfer RNA (tRNA) molecules are approximately 80 nucleotides in length. Their secondary structure includes four short double-helical elements and three loops (D, anti-codon, and T loops). Lineage: Eukaryota; Metazoa; Arthropoda; Arachnida; Araneae; Araneidae. The record is from Rfam by way of RNAcentral.